This 251-nucleotide ribosomal RNA is filed under the name uncultured bacterium. RNAcentral's name for it is "partial 16S ribosomal RNA". It matches the Rfam family "Bacterial small subunit ribosomal RNA", at positions 103 to 339 of the family's 1533-position model. The record is from RNAcentral.
CGGGUGAGUAACACGUAGGUGAUCUGCCUUUUGGUGGGGGAUAACCAGAAGAAAUUCUGGCUAAUACCGCAUGAGUACAGCAAAUUUGAAAGUAGCUGUAGAAAGAAUGCCUCUCCUUGGAAGCAUUUACCGAAAGAUGAGCCUGCGGGACAUUAGCUUGUUGGUGGGGUAAUGGCCUACCAAGGCGACGAUGUCUAACUGGUCUGAGAGGAUGAUCAGUCACACUGGAACUGAGACACGGUCCAGACUCC